RNAcentral lists this ribosomal RNA (94 nucleotides) under Meyerozyma guilliermondii. Its description in RNAcentral is "partial 28S ribosomal RNA". Lineage: Eukaryota; Fungi; Ascomycota; Pichiomycetes; Serinales; Debaryomycetaceae. The record is from RNAcentral.
AUUGUUGGCCCGGCCUUACAACAACCAAACAAGUUUGACCUCAAAUCAGGUAGGAAUACCCGCUGAACUUAAGCAUAUCAAUAAGCCGGAGGAA